This 5860-nucleotide long non-coding RNA is filed under the name Setaria italica (foxtail millet). Its description in RNAcentral is "long non-coding RNA (SITA_LNC001962)". Lineage: Eukaryota; Viridiplantae; Streptophyta; Magnoliopsida; Poales; Poaceae. The record is from RNAcentral.
GGCCGUCUCCUUUUAAUCCUCGUGAUCAGAGCCUCUCGAUCGGCCGAUUUCCAUCAACUCCCUUCGCCGAAACACUGCGGCACCAAUCAGCCGACCCUCAACUGUAGCACCAAUCGGCCGAUUUCCAAUCGUGACCUCCGCGCUUCGCCGCAUCACCUGAUUCCUUCCCUUCUUGAUGCCGAUUUCAUACGUGUCAAAAUCUGGCAUCAACAAGAGGCUUAUGUGAAGUCAAGGAUAGGUUACAUGAAGACCAACAAGGUGGCUGUCCAAGCUGACACAAGUUACAUGCGCAAGACCUUGAGUUGAGACACGUUACAUGCGCAAGACCUUGAAAAAAAAAGAGAAGCGUCGGAAAGAAAGAAGAACUAUCAGAUUGUUGAUAUGCACAAGUGUUGAACCUGCACAUCAAGUUGCGUAAUAAGUGUGCUAUCCUUCUAUUGGUGCAUUUCUUGCUAGGUGAGUUUCAAUGUAACCCGCCACUCCCUAGCGUAACCCUUGUUUGCGUCAAUUCUGAAAUUUCGUUUGCGCGGGUGUUGCUUUGGUUACAUCAUUCAUAUCUCGUGAUCAGCACUAGGCAUUGGAUCUCUAGUUUGGCUUGCUACUUACCUUUACAACAACUAGAAUUCAGAUUGCUCCUUGUGCAUCUUUCCCCACCGAGCUCCACAGAUAAGCCAUUGUAAACUAAACACAAGCCGUGUAUUCGCUUAACCAUCACUCUUUUUACCACCACACAUAGUACUUUUGUAAUCUGCAAGCGAAGUUGUGAGAUCCACAUAAUUUUCCAUUCCACGUAUACUUGUUGUUCGUGUUUUUACUAACCAUUCUGGAAGAUGUUUGAACAACCCGACCUUGAAGAUUGUGUCACCAUGGUACAAUUCAAUGAAAUGAGGGGAAGCAUAGAGGAGAGACAAAAUAGAUUAUCCAAUGAUUUGCAAGCCAUUAUAGAGCAGCUACGACAUAUUCCUCGUGCACCUGAAAAUGCAAGUAACCAUGAAGAUGGAGUUGAAGAAACCGAAGAAGAAGCUACUGAUUGACUUGCUAGAGAACAACAAGAAUGUCGAGAGCGAGCUGCUCUCCAUGCUAGGAGACCUGCAGUCCAGGGUGUGGAAAUGGAGGUAAUGGAGGUGGUCAUGGAAGAGGAAGAGGUCGUGGAAAUGAAGGUCAUGACCAUGCUGAAUUUGAUGAUGAGUACGAAGAAGAAGAGGUUGAACAGCCCCAAAAUUAUGGCCGUCAUCAUCGAGGCAAUCAUGAACGUAACCAGCCCAAUGAGGAGAGGUUUGGCAAGUUAAAAUUCACCAUUCCCAAAUUUGAUGGAGGAUCUGAUCUGGAAACUUAUCUCACAUGGGAGUUGAAGGUUGAUAAAAUUUUUUGCUUGCAUAAUUACUCUGAAGAGAAGAAGAUGGCAAUGGCUGCACUUGAGUUUGAUGACUAUGCUCUAAUCUGGUGGGAGAAAAUGCUCAAUGAUAGAGAAGAAGCAAUCAAUGUAUUUGAAGAUCAAGAGCAAUCAAUUGCAAGAUUCAUGUCUGGUUUACAUCGCAAUAUUCAGCGCAUUGUUGAAUUUCAGCCGUACCACAAUCUUAUUGAGUUGGUACAUCAAGCAAGCAAAGCUGAGCGCCAAUUGCAGCAAGACAUGAAGAGCAAUAGAGGAGGUUCAUUCAGUGCAAAGGUUACCCCAAGUGGAAGAAAAUUUACACCAAGAAGUAAUGCAAAUCGAGUGCAAUCACCAACUCAAGUGGUGGUUCACGCUCUACUUCGCAUGCUGCUUCCAGUGGGAAAGACUUGGCUGCUCAAAGUGAGAAGAGCAAACCUGCAACAUCAUCAUCUACAUCAAUGACUUCCACAGCAAAAAGUAGUGGAAUUCAAUGUUUCAAGUGUGGAGGUCGUGGUCAUGUUAUAAGGGAGUGCUCAAACAACCGUACCAUCAUUGUCAAUGACCAUGGAGAGUAUGAAUCUACUAGUGGAAGGAGCAUGAAACUAUUAAUGAAGAACAACUUGAGGAUGCUAUUAAAAAUGAAUAUCAGCCCUUAUGUGAAUUUGAGAGAGGUGUUGCUCUUGUUGUAACUCAAAUUUUGAGUGUGCAAAUGAAGGGCGGCACAAUUUAUUCCAAACAAGAGCCAAGGUUGAAGGCAAGGUAUGCAAGGUGAUCAUUGAUGGUGGAAGCUGCCACAAUCUUGCUAGCCGUGAGAUGGUUGAUGAACUUGGCUUGAAGUUGCUGCGACAUCCUCAUCCAUAUCAUGUACAAUGGUUAAAUGAUAUUGAAGAUAUCAAGAUUGGAUAUAGGGUGAAAGUUCCAUUCAAAGUUGGUGAAUAUGUUAACACCAUAGAGUGUGAUGUGGCGCCAAUGACAGUAUGCCAUCUGCUGUUGGGAAGGCCAUGGCAAUAUAACUGUUCACCUCUACAUUGUGGUCGCACAAAUCAAUACACCAUCAAGUGGAAGGGAAAGAGCUUGAUACUUAAGCCAAUGGCACCUCAACAAAUCCUAGCUGAACACUUGCAAAAGAGCUCUAAAGUAAAGGGUGAGAGUGAGAAAGAAAGAGAGAAAAAUAAUUUGAUUGUGGUCCACAAAUCGGUAAGUGAGAGCCACAAGCCAAAUGAGAGAGAUCAAAAGAAAAGAGAGGGGAAUAAUCUGAUAAUGUUAGUCACCAAAUCGAGAGAUGUGAGGCGCAACCCAUACCAAACAUUCAUUGUACUUGUGUACAAAGACAAAUUGCUUUCAGCUAACAACAUAAGAUCUCUUCCUAGUGUUAUUUCACAUCUUUUGCAGGACUACAAGGAUGUCUUUCCAGAGAAAACCCUUGCUGGACUGCCACCAUUGUGAGGCAUUAAGCAUCAAAUUGAUCUCAUUCCAGGGGCUGCAUCGCCCAAUCGUCCAUGUACCGCACCAAUCUGAAAUAAACAAAGGAAAUUCAAAGGCAAGUACAAGCACUUUUAGAUAAAAGUUUUGUGUAUGAAAGCGUAAGUCCUUGUGAUAUCCCUGUUAUUUUGGUUCCAAAGAAAGAUGGUACAUGAAGAAUGUGUGUGGAUUGUAGAGCCAUCAAUAAUAUCACUAUUCUCUAUCGACAUCCUAUUCCUAGGCUAGAUGAUAUGCUUGAUGAAUUGAGUGGUUCUAUGAUAUUUUCCAAAUUGAUUUGCGUGGUGGUUACCAUCAAAUUCGAAUGAAAAUUGGAGAUGAGUGGAAAACUGCUUUCAAAACAAAGUUUGGGCUAUAUGAAGGGUUAGUUGCCUUUUGGUUUGACUAAUGCCCCUAGCACUUUCAUGAGAUUGAUGAAUCAUGUCUUGAGAGUUUUCAUUGGAAAAUUUGUUGUUGUUUACUUUGAUGACAUCUUAAUUUACAGCAAGACAUUGGAGGAACAUGCUGAGCACAUACAAGUUUUGGAUGUGCUUAGAAAGAACAAUUGUUUGCUAACCUUGAGAAGUGCACCAUUUGCACACAUCAAGUUGUGUUUCUUGGUUUUGUUGUCUCUGGACAAGAAAUUCAAGUGGGCGAAUCCAAGGUUGCAGCAAUCAAGGAAUGGCCAACACCUGAGAAUGUAAGACAAGUGAGAAGUUUUCAUGGCCUUGCUGGUUUUUAUAGAAGAUUUGUCAAAGAGUUCAGUACCGUCACUGCUCCAUUAAACGAGUUGAUGAAGAAAGGUGUUGUGUUCAAAUGGGGUGAGCCACAAGAAAAAGCUUUCCAUGAAUUGAAGAAACGGUUGACGAAAGCACCCCUACUUGUGUUGCCAAAUUUCACAAAAACCUUUGAGGUUGAAUGUGAUGCAAGUGGGAUUGGAAUUGGAGGAGUGCUCAUGAAAGAUGCAAAACCAGUUGCAUACUUCAGCGAGAAGUUGGGAGGAGCACAGCUGAAUUACUCCGUGUAUGAUAAGGAAUUGUACACUUUGGUAAGAGUAAGAGUAUUUGAGACUUGGCAACAUUAUUUGUGACCAAAAGAAUUUGUUAUCCAUUCAGAUCAUGAAGCUUUGCAACACUUGAAAGGCUAAGCUAAACUGAACCGUCGACAUGCCAAGUGGGUUGAAUUUAUUGAGACUUUCCCAUACAUUGUGAAGUAUGAGAUAGGUAAAGAUAACAUUGUUACUGAUGCUUUAUCCCGCAAAAAAUAUUCUGUUGAAUCAACUUGAGGUAAAAGUGAUGGGAAUAGAGAGCAUAAAAAAAUUAUACUCUGUUGUUUAUGAAUUUUAAGAACCUUAUGCCAAAUGUACAACAGGGAAAGGAUGGGAAAAAUACCACAUGCAUGAUGGAUUUUUAUUUCGAGCUAACAAAAUUAUGUGUUCCAAAUUGUUCUGUUAGACUUUUGUUGCUGUAGGAAGCACAUGCAGGUGGUUUGAUGGGUCAUUUUGGGCGAGAUAAGACCUAUGAGAUGCUGGGCGACCACUUCUAUUGGCCAAAGAUGAGAAGAGACGUUGCGAGACUUGUGCAGUGUUGUGUCACAUGCCACAAAGCUAAGUCAAAGCAGAACACUCAUGGCUUAUACACUCCAUUGCUUAUUCCUAGUGUUCAUUGGGAGGGCAUUAGCAUUGAUUUUGUUUUGGGUUUACCUAGGACAAAGAGGGGGAGGGAUUCCAUUUUUAUGGUUGUUGAUAGGUUCUCAAAAAUGGCGCAUUUCAUACCCUGUAAUAAAAGUGAUGAUGCUUCCCACAUAGCUACUUUAUUUUUUAGGAAAAUUGUGAGGUUGCACAGAAUGCCAUGGACCAUUUUUUCAGAUCGUGACACUAAGUUUGUGAGUUAUUUUUGGAAGACACUUUGGGCAAAACUUGGAACGAAGCUGCUGUUUUCUACCACAUGUCAUCCGCAAAUAGAUGGACAAACUGAGGUGGUGAAUCGAACACUUUCAAUGCUAUUGCGAGCUGUGAUAAAAAAACAAUUUGAAGGAGUGGGAAGAGUGUUUGCCGCAUGUUGAAUUUGCAUAUAAUAGGGCAAUACACUCUACAACCAAAAUGUGUCCAUUCAAAAUUGUUUAUAGUUUCAAACCAAAUACUCCCAUAGAUUUGUUGCCAUUACCUUUGCAGGAACGAAGUAACAUGGAAGCCUCCAAGCGUGCUGCAUACAUAAAGAAGAUACAUGAGAAGACCAAGGAAGAACUUGAUAAGAAGGUGAAGUAUUUUGCAGCCAAGGCAAACAAGCAUCAGAAGAAAGUGAUAUUUGAACAGGGUGAUCUAGUUUGGGUACAUCCACGUAAGGAUCGCUUUCCUGAAAGGUGUAAAUCAAAGUUGAUGCCACGAGGAGAUGGUCCAUUCAAAGUGAUGGCACGAAUCAAUGACAAUGCAUACAAGAUUGACCUUCCUGAAGAUUAUGGUGUCAGUACAACAUUCAAUGUUGCUGAUCUAUAACCAUUCAUGGGCUUAGAAGAAUUAGAGUAGAGGAUGACUCCUUUUCAAGAGGGGGAGGAUGAUACGGACACCCCCCCCCCCCCCCAAUCCUAAAACAUCAUACGUAAACCAUGAACCAGUUACACAAGUGGAUGAACAAGCCACACCAAACAAUGUAAACCAAGGGCCGGUUACACGAAGUCGUGCCAAGAAGCUACAACAAGAGGUGAAUUCUCUCCUUGCUGAAUUUAAGUUACACACGAAUGAGAAUUGUUUACUAUCUAAGUGUUGUACUCUUAUUAUUUUAAGGUUUACACAUGAGGUCAUAGAUGACACUCGGUGGAGAAAGGUUACAUGAAAAAAGAAGAGGCUUAUGUGAAGUCAAGGAUAGGUUACAUGAAGACCAACAAGGUGGCUGUCCAAGCUGAGACAAGUUACAUGCGCAGGACCUUGAGUUGAGACAGGUUACACCUUCAACUUCUCGUGCAAGUCUGUACCAAUCUGCAAGGACUCGCGGUACAUGAUACACAUGAUUGGAAGCUCACUCAAGUCUAGUU